This 253-nucleotide ribosomal RNA is filed under the name uncultured bacterium. Its description in RNAcentral is "partial 16S ribosomal RNA". It matches the Rfam family "Bacterial small subunit ribosomal RNA", at positions 524 to 776 of the family's 1533-position model. RNAcentral also lists the same sequence under 1 other name. The record is from RNAcentral.
UACGUAGGAAGCAAGCGUUGUCCGGAAUUACUGGGCGUAAAGCGCGUGUAGGCGGAUAGGCAAGUCUGCUGUGAAAGCUCUCGGCUUAACCGGGAGAGGUCGGUGGAAACUGCCUGACUAGAGGACGGUAGAGGGGGGUGGAAUUCCCGGUGUAGUGGUGAAAUGCGUAGAGAUCGGGAGGAACACCAGUGGCGAAGGCGGCCCCCUGGGCCGCUCCUGACGCUGAGACGCGAAAGCGCGGGGAGCGAACGGG